AUUUUCUCAAAGAUUAAGCCAUGCAUGUCUAAGUAUAAAUAGUAUACAGUGAAACUGCGAAUGGCUCAUUAAAACAGUUAUAGUUUAUUUGAUAAUGGAAAGCUACAUGGAUAACCGUGGUAAUUCUAGAGCUAAUACAUGCGUUCAAGCCCGACUUUUCGGAAGGGCUGUAUUUAUUAGAUAUCAAGCCAAUAUUCCUUCGGGUCUAUUGUGGUGAAUCAUAGUAACUGAUCGAAUCCCUUUUUGGGAUAAAUCAUUCAAGUUUCUGCCCUAUCAGCUUUCGAUGGUAGUGUAUUGGACUACCAUGGCAGUCACGGGUAACGGAGAAUUAGGGUUCGAUUCCGGAGAGGGAGCCUGAGAAACGGCUACCACAUCUAAGGAAGGCAGCAGGCGCGUAAAUUACCCAAUCCUGAUUCAGGGAGGUAGUGACAAGGAAUAACAACCUGGGGGUCUUUGACCUUACGGGAUUGCAAUGAGAACAAUUUAAAAGACUUAUCGAGGAACAAUUGGAGGGCAAGUCUGGUGCCAGCAGCCGCGGUAAUUCCAGCUCCAAUAGCGUAUAUUAAAGUUGUUGCAGUUAAAAAGCUCGUAGUUGAAUUUCUGUACAGUCCCGGUUCUGGCUUCUGUCAAGCCGUGGGUUGUGCAUCCGCUUGCAAACCUAGCCCGGUCUUUACUGAUCGACUAGGGGAGUAAGCCCUUUACUUUGAAAAAAUUAGAGUGUUUCAGGCAGGCAAUGGCUCGAAUACAUUAGCAUGAAUAAUGGAAUAGGACUUUUGUCCAUUUGGUUGGUUAUUGGAUGA
Molecule: ribosomal RNA, 800 nt
Filed under: uncultured ciliate
Lineage: Eukaryota; Ciliophora
Description: SSU rRNA
Rfam family: Eukaryotic small subunit ribosomal RNA
Source: RNAcentral